UACAGAGGUGGCAAGCGUUGUUCGGAAUUACUGGGCGUAAAGGGCGCGUAGGCGGUCUUGCAAGUCCUGUGUGAAAUCCCUCGGCUCAACUGAGGAACUGCACAGGAAACUGCUUGGCUUGAGUUCGGGAGAGGGAAGCGGAAUUCCGGGUGUAGCGGUGAAAUGCGUAGAUAUCCGGAGGAACACCGGUGGCGAAGGCGGCUUCCUGGACCGACACUGACGCUGAGGCGCGAAAGCUAGGGGAGCAAACAGG
This 253-nucleotide ribosomal RNA is filed under the name uncultured bacterium. RNAcentral's name for it is "partial 16S ribosomal RNA". It matches the Rfam family "Bacterial small subunit ribosomal RNA", at positions 524 to 776 of the family's 1533-position model. The record is from RNAcentral.